UAAUGUAGCCUACAAUAGGAAGGACUAGGCUACUUUUAGAUUUACACUUUAUCCCUCCAUAGUAUUUCCUCCAUAGUAUUUGCUUUACAUGCGUGGUUUAAUAGUUUAAAAUAUUUUCCUUUUCAAUCAUGAACAUAAUUAUAAAGACAUCGUAUGUAAGCAUCCAUGCGUAAAGAUCAACCCGUACAGACUUGUUUGAAUUAAUGUGUUGCGCCAUUCGGAGAUGUGCUUAGCCUACUCUGUAAUUUAACCAGUUUCUGUUUCUACUGUGUGCAUAAGGGCCCAAAGUGGCAUUUGUAUUUAUACCGUGCAUCAAUUAUAUUUUGUGCACACAUCCAGAUACUCAGCUCGUUUGUGUGAUUACUUUUUUUAGGGACGGGAGAGAUUCUCUGAUUAUUUAUUUGAAUGGUGGUGGACAGGUCGCGGUUAUCCGGACAGGAGCCUAUUACGCCCUGUCUUAAAUCGCUGGAUAACAAAGUUGUCCUUCCUCUGUGUGACUGUGAGUGAGUUGGCUCAGCCCCUCCCUCAGCCCUUCCUCACACAUCUUUGGUUGAUACUGCGUGUCUGAUUGACAGGAACAACCAGAUUCGGCUCUUCUGAUAUGCGAACAAGCUCCCAACGUUCACCUACAAGAGCCGGCUCUUAGAGCCAACUCGUUCGCGAACGACCCAUCACUACUGAGGAAAGAAAGAAAGAAAGGGAGAGAGAUGCUUUUGUGAAGCGGGAAAACAUUUUAUGUACUAAAAAUCGUUUUUCCCCGAAUUGGGUUGAACUGCACUGUUGUUCUGCCCCUGAACAAGGCACUGUUCUUAGGCCGUCAUUGUAAAUAAGAAUUUGUUCUUAACUGACUUGCCUAGUUAAAUAAAG
Molecule: non-coding RNA, 867 nt
Organism: Salmo salar (Atlantic salmon)
Lineage: Eukaryota; Metazoa; Chordata; Actinopteri; Salmoniformes; Salmonidae
Source: RefSeq, a predicted model, not a curated record